GACGAACGCUGGCGGUGUGCUUAACACAUGCAAGUCGAACGGUAAGGCCCUUCGGGUACGACGAGUGGCGAACGGGUGGAGUAACACGUGGGUGAUCUGCCCUGCACUUCGGGAUAAGCUUGGGAAACUGGGUCUAAUACCGGAUAGGACCACGGUCUGCAUGGAUUGUGGUGGAAAGCUUUUGCGGUGUGGGAUGGGCCCGCGGCCUAUCAGCUUGUUGGUGGGGUGAUGGCCUACCAAGGCGACGACGGGUAGCCGGCCUGAGAGGGUGUCCGGCCACACUGGGACUGAGAUACGGCCCAGACUCCUACGGGAGGCAGCAGUGGGGAAUAUUGCACAAUGGGCGCAAGCCUGAUGCAGCGACGCCGCGUGAGGGAUGACGGCCUU
RNAcentral lists this ribosomal RNA (387 nucleotides) under uncultured bacterium. RNAcentral describes it as "bacterial SSU rRNA". It matches the Rfam family "Bacterial small subunit ribosomal RNA", at positions 28 to 418 of the family's 1533-position model. The record is from RNAcentral.